RNAcentral lists this long non-coding RNA (496 nucleotides) under Trifolium pratense (red clover). Its description in RNAcentral is "long non-coding RNA (TPRA_LNC001544)". The record is from RNAcentral. Lineage: Eukaryota; Viridiplantae; Streptophyta; Magnoliopsida; Fabales; Fabaceae.
UUUUUAUUUUCUUUCAAGUUUCAAAUGUUUUGAAAACUUGUUCUUUCUUUUAUAUUUCAAUUUAUCCAUAGUUUUCAUGAUCUUUAAAAAUAUACGUUUCUUUUUUUUUAUCCAUUGUUUAGAUAAAGUAUGGGAUCCUGGAACAAAGAAGAGAUAACAAUGUUUUAUGAAUCUUAUAGAAACCAGGGGAAAGACUUGGAAAAAGGUACGGAAUCUAUAGGUUAUAGCAACUACAUGUUAAUCUCUUCUUUAUUCAAACUCUAUCUAACAUUUACGAUAAUUCUUUUGGCAUUCAAUUUCGUUCAUUCUUUCAAAAUAGAGUUUAUGGCUAGUUUGGACCUAAUUUUGGGUUGCCAUAAAAAGCUGUUAACAGCAGCAAUUGAAAUAUUACAGUGAUGUCUAAGUUUGCCUAAGUUGUGAACAAUUAUAUGAAACAUAAAUAAUCGGUUCAUAAUCUCAAUAUUUAACGAAAUGAAUCCCUAAAUUCAGAAAUAAA